CUAUGGGUCGCAGCAGUGGGGAAUAUUGCACAAUGGGCGCAAGCCUGAUGCAGCCAUGCCGCGUGUAUGAAGAAGGCCUUCGGGUUGUAAAGUACUUUCAGCGGGGAGGAAGGGAGUAAAGUUAAUACCUUUGCUCAUUGACGUUACCCGCAGAAGAAGAACCGGCUAACUCCGUGCCAGCAGCCGCGGUAAUACGGAGGGUGCAAGCGUUAAUCGGAAUUACUGGGCGUAAAGCGCACGCAGGCGGUUUGUUAAGUCAGAUGUGAAAUCCCCGGGCUCAACCUGGGAACUGCAUCUGAUACUGGCAAGCUUGAGUCUCGUAGAGGGGGGUAGAAUUCCAGGUGUAGCGGUGAAAUGCGUAGAGAUCUGGAGGAAUACCGGUGGCGAAGGCGGCCCCCUGGACGAAGACUGACGCUCAGGUGCGAAAGCGUGGGGAGCAAACAGGAUUAGAUACCCGAGUAGUC
RNAcentral lists this ribosomal RNA (464 nucleotides) under uncultured bacterium. Its description in RNAcentral is "partial 16S ribosomal RNA". It matches the Rfam family "Bacterial small subunit ribosomal RNA", at positions 339 to 795 of the family's 1533-position model. The record is from RNAcentral.